Molecule: non-coding RNA, 232 nt
Organism: Camelina sativa (false flax)
Lineage: Eukaryota; Viridiplantae; Streptophyta; Magnoliopsida; Brassicales; Brassicaceae
Source: RefSeq, a predicted model, not a curated record
UAUGUGAGCCAACAAGAUUGGCAUGUGGCGGAGAUGACAGUGAGGCAAACUCUCGAGUUUGCUGGUCGUUGUCAAGGUGUUGGAUUCAAAUAUGAUAUGCUUUUGGAGUUAGCAAGAAGAGAAAAGCUUGCAGGAAUUGUACCUGAUGAAGAUCUUGAUAUAUUUAUGAAGUCUUUAGCUCUAGGAGGACAGGAGACAAGCCUCGUUGUGGAGUAUGUUAUGAAGGUAUGUA